RNAcentral lists this long non-coding RNA (10954 nucleotides) under Triticum aestivum (bread wheat). RNAcentral's name for it is "long non-coding RNA (TAES_LNC000192)". Lineage: Eukaryota; Viridiplantae; Streptophyta; Magnoliopsida; Poales; Poaceae. The record is from RNAcentral.
CAUCAUAUUUUCCCAUGAUUUGUACUCUGUCGAUGUAGCAUCACUGUCCAACCAUCCUGCAAUUUUUGGCGUCUUCAACUUGUCAGUCUGGGACUUGUAUCUAUAAUAGUCAGAGUCACCGUACAACCUCAAUCAACCAAAAAAAAUUGCACCGUGAGAAACCCAGUAAUCUAAUACCACUUGAUAAGGGCACGACCUCGGACGCGCCGCUAAUUUGGCCCGAUCUUUCACGAUGCAACAACCGCGACUAAAUUUCACUGAUAAAGGUUUCCAAUUACGCGAGCGAUACUCGCAACCUGAAACUGUGGUAACAACAACUGACUAGCAAUACCUCGGCAAACAAGGCACCUCUCGUCGGCGUAGGCGUCACCAGCACGCAAUCCAUCGUCGCCGACGGACCUCAAGCCAAUAGCUAGCAAACUCUCGAUCACGAGAAUCCUCUCGCUAAAGUGUAAUUUUCUUGAUAGAAAAUCUCACAAUAAUAAACAAGAUGAACGCCCAGAGGGCCGCUUCAUAGUCUGUCUAACUCUAAAGAAAAAUAACCUAAUCCUUAAAGUCUCGAUAACAAAUAAUAUAUAUAGCCUAGGUACAAACCGACUCAGAUGGGUUCGGCCAAACAAGGCACGCAGGCCAUAUUACGUAUACGUACCUGAUUUAUUUUCCCCUGCGCGACUUGUAGUGCAACCGAAAUCCUGGCCGUUCUGAUCUGCUACCUUUGUUUUAAUUUUCCAAACGUACAUAGCUGGCUGAUUUGGAAACAUAUCUCCACGUACGUGCAGGCUCCUUCUCUUCCUAUUUUCUAGCACAUGCAGUUCGGGAGUUUGUAUGUUCCGUGAAACACAACUAAUAAAUCCGUUGCAUGUUGGCCUUUUCCUUUUUAUUCUCCAUGGCUUCCACGUCCGAUUAUUUCUCCAAAUGCGUGCAUGAUAUCCUGUUGCAUGUUGGUUAGGAAACAAACAACUAUUUCCUAUAGUUUUGUGCAUGCAGGAACUUGCAUGAACUCCUUUAAUCCAGCGUUGCUCUCACAUUUAACACGCACUCUUUCUUUAGGUGUAAUUGGCGUAAAUCCAGGACCACAUAGAAUACGCAAGGUUCCAUCUUUACCUUUGCUAAAAUGUGUCAUCUCCUCCAUAAUAUUCUGAUUCUCAUCUUGGUUAACUUUCUUUUCAACGUCCGCCUCAUCCACAUGCAUUGCCGUCCCCUCAUCCAUAAUAUCCUCCGUUUGUACCCCUUUGUUGACGACUGCCGAAGUCGCCUGCAACCCCUUGUCAUUGACCGACGUACUCAUCAUGACCUGUGUACUGGUCGUGUUUGCAGUAGGGCAUGCCACAUCACAUGUCCUAGGUGUCCGCAGACGGCGCACCAGUCCGGGAGGCGCUCAUAUUUGACUCGAUAAAUCUGGCGUUUUCCAUCGCGGAUCAUCGUCACAGCGUUCUUUAAAGGCUUGUGCACAUUGAUCCUCACCCACACUCGAUAAAAAUUUCCAGCAAAAUCCUGUGUCACGUUUUCUGUGAACAAGACCUCUCCAACCUUAGCAGCAAGCGGCGUCACAAGAUGAGCAUACAGGUCCGAGACGUCAUGAAUCUGAAUCCAGAUGUCUAGACUAUCCAACACUACCUCUGUCGGCUUGGUAAUCCCAUCAUAGGGCGUGAUGAUGACGGCGUUUCCUCUGAAGUUCCACGGCCCCUCUUGCAUCACACGCUUCCCAAUCACCAAGACAGAAAAACUGAAUUGUGUACAGAUUAUCCUCCAAAGGACGGAAUUUCACCUCAUGCGCCAGAUCCCAAGCGGCCCGCAUGUUCUUGAAGAACCAGUACCGGCUGUAGGGUUUAUCGAUGUGAACCCUAGCAACAGCCAUCCAUCUCGUCGCAUCCGGUGGCGCCGCCUUCUCAUCGAAGACGACAUCAUCCAGAUCCUCUUCCCGAAGGCCUAGUUCGGCCAUCAUCUUCUCAACUUCCGAUCCAGAGGUGGAACUCGAUGCCCCUGAAGCCUUCGAUCCCAUCGCCGCUGAAAACCUGAAACCCUAGCCCGAGAAAAACGAAUCGGGUUUGAAGCUGGCCCUAACUCUCCAACUCAACCACCAGAUGACGCGCCAAGGACGGGAAGUGAUGCUAGAUCACCCCUUAAUCAGCCCGAGCCAUCAUAAUCCGGGGGGGAAUCGGAGGAGGGGAGGUAAGAGCUCGACGACGGUUGGAUCGCCACCGGGAGAAAGCAAAACCCUAGCUAGAGGGAAAAAGGCCCUGGGAAGAAGCAACAUAAAAUGUUUCUGAUGUAUAUAAAUAAUGUUAAAUGCGUACUGAAAACCAAGAAAAAUUGAAAAAAAGAAAAGUAAACAAAGAACAAGAAAAACCAAAGAAAACCAAGAAAGAAACAGAAAAAAACUGAAUAGAAAAAGAAAGAAAAAACCAAUGAAAACCAGGGAGAAACAAAGAAAACCGGUAGGAGCCAUUAAAAAUAAUUGAAACGAUGAAAAAACAAAAACAACGGAGAAACGUAAAGAUAAACAAAAGAAAACAAAAAAUACUAAUAAAAAACUGGGGCAAACCGACCCAGCGAACAAAAAAAAACAGUAUAUGGGCCGGGCCAGUUUCUACAGGUGGGAGGGAAUCUUCAGGCGAGACUUUCUUCCGUCUCGCUUUGAGCCACAGAUAUAGCUCUCGCGAUAGUCGCCGCGCUAAACCACCACAGGGCCAAUAGAGUCUGCACUCUUUUCCUUCACGCGUCGAAAGGAAACAAAAUUUCCAACAAAAGAGGUUGGGGUCGUCGCGUCGGCGUUGCCCAAUCCUCUCCCAUCUCCCCCACCUCUCAUACUCCGCGCCGUUGCCGAUCUGGCCUCCAGUCAACUCCGGCGAGGUAAGAAUAUUUGUUCGUCCAAAUUCGUCUAGUCUAGGGUUUGUGCGGAAUUGUUCUUAUGCUUUCUGUCCCAAACUACCUACUCAGAUUGGAUUUGAUUGGAUUGAAGUUUACUGGACUGGAGCCGAUCCGAUCCGACCUGAUCGGACUCUGCUGGCAUCUAGCGAAGCUUGAGGAGGGGUCGCUCGCUGUCGCGGGCCACAGAUCUGCCGCGUCCGCCAUGGACGGCAACAAGGACGACGCUGUCAAGGCCCUGCGCAUAGGCAAGGACGCCCUCGACGCCGGCGAUACCGCCCGCGCCCUCAAGUUUCUGUCUAAGGCCAAGCGGCUGGACCCCUUGCUCCCCAUCGAUCACCUCCUCAACCCCCUCCUCAACAAGGAUGACCCGUCCUCCUCACCGGCCUCGUCAUCAUCGUCAUCUGCCCCACAUCCCCCACCGCCUCCGCCGUCGCGAGCUGCAUCAUCAGCAGCCGGUGCUGACGGCUUGAGGGAAAGGAAGCAGAAGGGCAAGAAGAAGGAUGGGGAGGAGGGCGGCGGUGAUACUGCUGGGGCGAGGAUGUACACGGAGGAGCAGCUGGAGGUGGUCCACCAGAUCAAGAAGCACACUAGGGAUUACUACAAGAUCCUGGGCCUCGAAAAGGACUGCACUGUUGAGGACGUGCGCAAGGCCUACCGCAAGCUCUCUCUCAAGGUGCACCCUGACAAGAACAAGGCCCCUGGUGCCGAGGAUGCCUUUAAGGCUGUCUCCAAGGCCUUCCAGUGCCUCAGCGAUGCAGAGAGCCGCAAGCGCUUCGAUCUUGUUGGUUCUGAUGAGCCGCCGGCAUACAACAGGAGGGCGGCAUCCACUGCCCGUUCAUACAAUGGGUUCUAUGAAGAUGACAUUGACCCGGAUGAGAUAUUCAGGAACUUUUUCUUUGGUGGGAUGGCUCCUGCCACCACCAGGCAGUUUGGGCAGUUUGGGACGUUCCAUUUCAGGACUGGCGGGAUGCAUCAUGCUCAUGGUGCGCAGCAGGGUUCUGGUGGCUCCACUGUCCGUAUGCUUGUUCAGCUCUUGCCUGUCCUGCUGCUUCUGUUGCUCAACUUCCUGCCAUCCUCUGAGCCAGUCUACUCCCUAUCCCGUUCCUACCCUUAUGAGUACAAAUUUCAAACCCAACGUGGAGUAACAUACUAUGUCAAGCUGCCUAAUUUUGAGGAUCAGUAUCCACACCAGAGCACUGAGCGUACAACACUGGAGCGGCAUGUUGAGAGGGAUUACUACUCGAUAAUAACACAGAAUUGUAGGGUUGAGCUGCAGCGUCGCCAAUGGGGGCUAGCCUACCAGACACCACACUGUGAUAUGCUUCAGAAGUUUGAGGCAACAGCACAGUAAUUCCUCCGAUGUCGCAAGGUGUGGAUUGACUCUCCAUGCACAUUAUUUUGCAGUAGCAAACUAGCAAUAUACUACUACAUCUUUAAUACUCCUUUGGUGCUUUGCAACCUUAUGUGCCUUGUAUCUUGAUAUUUUUACUGUUCUGAUGUAAUAACCAACACUUUAAGGCCUUCUUUCCUACUUCUAUUCAGUCCUUGUUGUGGGUGCACACACAUGGCAAGCGAGUUUUAUGCUUUUCACCCGAAUGUCAAAUUCAGUCUUGAUUGUGAAAGAGAUAUAGUGGAAGAUGUUAUUUCAUGCUAGUUAAUGGACAUCUCCGUCCAACACAUUAAGUAUCUACUGAGUACUUGGCAGUACAUAAUUACGUAGCUACACAACUGAGUAACUGUAACUUGCUCUGACAGCUAGCAGCUUGUAUGGCGGAUCGAUAGGUCAUCAAACAAUCAUCUACACAUCCGGUUUCAUAUGAUUUAGAUUAGUUGUUCUGAUACUAUUAUAUGGAUUUCAGUAUGAAACUUAUAGCCAGGCUAAGCCAUGUAAGCUGCACUAGCACUAAUGAAUGCCUGCCACUUUUCCUAGUUUUGAAGAGUUGCCGAAGUUCUGCAGAUUCUUAGAUUUGUUUGUCAUAACCGUCCUGGCUAGAUUAAUUGAUCUUCCUAUGCUUGGUUUUGUAACCAGUGGCAUGCCAUACGAAGCUGUCAGUUCUAGAUUUUCAGUCUAGCCAUGUAACCAGUGGCAUGCCCAUACGUUCUUGAUAUUUGUUAAGCCUCUUUUUCUGGCUGUAUUUUUUUAUUUUUUUAUUACCUUUAUGUGCGGGAUGGUACAUUUGAGUGUGUGCAUUGGACAGUUGCCUAUGGACGUAACCCCAACACUAGGCAUGUGUAGUGUCAUUAAUGAAUUCAACAGGCAUGUUGUAGCAAUGCAUUAAGUGUUGGUGUAUACAUGCCUCGAUUCUAUCGCUAUUGAGUUUUAAGAAGUGAUUGAAUUAUAUUUCUCUGUUACAAAAUUGACAUCGCUAGUGAUUGCAGAAUAAUGAAUGGGUUUACGCCUAGGCGGGGGACCAAAUGCCUAGGCGAGAGGUUAAUAACUCCUUGAACCGUGAUUUAACAAAUAGAAGAGCCUAUGUUUCAAAGCGGUUUUGUAGCCUUUUUCAGUAAGCAGGUUGAUGGGAUAUCUGCUACUAGUAGGACCUUCAGCUAUGCAAUCCUUGUUACACUCCUAGAUUUAAAUUAUUGAUGAGUUGAUCCCAAGGAUGAUGUCAGGUAGCUUGGCUAAGUUAAAUACCUUAUGCCCUAUUUGUUUGCAUAAUAAACAAGCAAUGCUGAUAUAAAAAUGGUGAACAUAGCUCAGUUCAUGAACUACAUGAAAUUAAUGUGCAGACGAGCAUUCUUUCCAAGCACCACACUCCAAAAACAGCUCGAUGCACUUGCCUUUUUGUAGCUAUCACUGGUUUUCAUAUACUAUGUUAUUUCUAGCCCACAGCUAUUUGUAUAUUUUGUUUUUCUAUAUGCCGACAAAAAUAUCAAGUAAUGUUUGAUACUUUGGUCAUGAAUAUAAGUUACAGCAUAAUUUGGAUAGAUAUCCAUGGGUGAUAUAUCAUCAACAACAAUACAUGAGAAAUGCAAUUUUUAGUUUUUGCUCCCUUAGGUUUUCCCACUUCCUUGUCUGUGGGAAGUAGAAAACCAAAUGCGCUAAACUCAGUUGGAUUCACCAUGUUUCAUUGUCUGUUGGUUAGCCGGCUGGUUAUAGCCAUGGGGUCACACAUCAAUGGUUACCUUCUGACAUGGACGAUGUGUCCCAUUACCUCAUACUGUCUACUAAUUAUUAUUUUUACCAGUAUUGCUCAUUAAUUUGUUGCUGUACAUUUACUCUCACUUGCUCAUUUGGAUUAGUAAGUUUGCACGUGCAUUGCAUGUUGUGUUAAUGGGAGGUGGCCUCUUGCUAAUUGGAUUAGUAAGUCUGCACAGAAAAAUUGGGUGUAUUUGAUCAAAAACUGUCAUGAGCUGUUCAUAACAGAAAAAUCAGCGACAAACCCUAGUAUAGUUUUGGACGGUUUGUUCCUGAAUAUUUGAUGGAUAGGAGUAUGUGCUAGUGGCACUAUGCAUUUUUCUUUAAAAUUACUGGGAAGCAUUGUUUCUUUACAUUUUGUUACGUGACAGUUUGCUGAUACUCCAUUUUAUAGGGUCGCGGCGAAACAGGAACUUUGGUCAUGGUGUAAAAGCUUUCCAAUACUUGCUCCGUUGAUUAUCUGUUUCAAAUUGGAGGCGGAACAAGUUAGUUUGGACUAGUAGUAAAUUUUGUGGAAUAAGUGCAUUCGAUGACUAUACACACCGCCUUGAUGUAUCUUAACAGUGUUAAGGCGUAUGCAGCCGUAACUACUUGAGAGGAUAUGCAAUUUGUUAGUAUGUUUCUUAGGGGCUGAACACAGUGCAGACAUGUGUAUGUAUAUGAAUCAUCUAUAUUUCUUCUGAUGUUAUUGAAGAAUAUAUACCUGACCUAGCAGGCUGUUUUUUUUUUGAAGUGUACUCUAACUGCUUACAAUAGCUUUUAUCUUUCCCAUAUAUAUAUAUAUAUAUAUAUAUAUAUAUAUAUAUAGGGCCGCGCUAUUCAUCACCCUGGGUGAGAAAUUCUUAUUCCUCACCCCAGCCACCCCACGGCCAGAAUUUCAAAACGUAAGAAAUAAAGACACCCGAUGUAAGAUUACAACAGGGAGAAAGAAACGUACUAUGGAGCACUGCCGUAAGAAACAAGGGUUGUGAGGUAAAUUUUCCUCACGCAUGCAAAGUAAGUUACGGCACAUGCAAACAGUGUUUGGAGACUGGACCACUGCCGAAAGAAAACAAUAGGUUUGCGAGGUAAAUUUACCUCGCCGACUAUACUACCUCUAUCUGCACGAGCUCCAUGCAUCGCAAGACCCUUUCUAUCUGCAUCUGAUCGUCUUCUUUAAAAAGAUAUUUUUUGCUUCGAGAAAACAACGAGAUAGUGAUGCAUACUCUCUCCUUUUUACCUCUAUUUUUAUCUAGACCUGUUCAUUAGGCGCCAUGGAUUUGAUGUAGUAAAUUCUCAUUUGGAAAUUUAUUUGGAGGUACCAUUUAUGGAAUUGCAUCCUCGAUUAUUCAAAAGUUAUUUCCUCGACUAGUGACUGAAAUUUCCAACGAUAACCUCCAUUGACUUCUUUAAUAUAUAUAUGGAGUAGUUUUACCUCGAAGCGCCUAGCGCCGAACUAUAUUGAAAUAGAGAGAAUAAUUUAUAGAUCAUCUCUAAGAAACAUGGAGCUAGUAUUUACAGGGUCAGCUCUUGAGAAAAACAGAACUGGAACUCUACUCAUAACCUCAGAGCUGAUUACACAACACUCCAGAGAGAACUCCAAUACAGUCCCAGUCGGGAGAAAGCAACAAAAAUAUGAUUCAGAAAGAAGACAACCCGCCUGCAGCUCUCCUAGAUUGAAACUCCUCUCAGCAUAACUGUGUUGUCAAAGAUCUUUGUGUUUUUCCAUAUUUUCAAAUGUAUUAAUAUCAGUCUACUGUUAUUAGGGUACUUAUAGAUGAGCUACCUACAGUGUAAAAAAUGAUUAGUAUAGGAAGCAAGUUGCAACUGUUCUGGCAUUACACAUCAUUUAUCAAAAAUAUGUUCUCUUUUAGUCUUUCAGAUACCUUUACAGAGACUCAAAUCAUGAAUGCUACGAACGAAAAUAACAGCACGUGAUUCAAGUUAUAAACAAUAUGUUCUCUGACAUGUACCACCUGCUGUAGUAGUGUAGAUUGUAGAAAAUGAGCAGAUAGUAGUACAAUUCAGUUUCUUUCAAAAAUAUUUUGGUUUCAGACCAACAAUUCAAUUAUUUUUUGCAGAAGAAUGGCUUGUCUAAAAACACAGGGUGCUAGGAGCUUGGUGAAUAGGGGGUGCUAUAUCUAAAAUGCGGUGAAUAAAACGGAACAUGCGGUAAGAUAGGAGCUUAGUGAAUCAUUACUGUUGUAAUAAAGGAGCUACAAAAUUCUCAGAUAUAGGUCGGAAUGUUACUGUAAAAAGAUAGUAGAUUAAGGCAAGUAGAUUCAAAGAAAAUGUUUUGAUCGAACUAAAUAUAAAGCUUCUCCCAUUAGGUGGAUUGAUGAUAUUUACUUCAAUCAGAAUUAUCCGAGAGGAUUCAUCCAAAAUUCCAAAUACUACAAGAACUUGUGAUAGGGUGAUUAAUCACAUAAAGCCUAUAUGCACAUGGAAAGAAGUAUGCUCCAGACUGCAAUAUAGCAAAUUCAAUCUCCAUACUCUCAUAGAACUAAUGAUUACAUGUACUACUUUCCAGAAUAGAGUUUAGGCAUGUACGAUAACCAAUCAAGGUUCUUUAUGAAAGACACCAAUCAAGGUUCUGGAGGUGUUGGACAUCUGAUCGAAGCCUGACUACUUUGUUCUCUACGACCUGUUGAACAACGUCAGAUGGAAGAGUUUGCCUACAGAAGUCACACUUUCACGAAGUGUGUACAAAUCUAAAAGACAUAUAAGAUGUGCGAGUACAGUAGCGACAUUUAUCUAACUGACCUUUAAUUUGCCUUUGAUCAGUCCAAACCAAUGGUAUGGCAUGGUACUAGUAGUGCACUACUAAACAACCUACAAUCAAUAGAGCCAGAGAUUUUUUUUCCUAUAAAACCAAUAAAAAGUGCAGGUUUUAAGGAGAAAAAGACUUCUCUCCCAGAUAGAAAAAGAGCGGAGCUCAGUUUCCUCCUCUCCUUUCUGUGAUAAUUUUAAUUAGACCUAUAUGACCUUAAUAGCCCUUGAACACUCAUCAUUACCAUUAUGAGAAGUUCAAUCCUUAUUGUCAGUGUAUGUUCUUUAACACAAUAGCUGGGGUUAAACUAGGUGACUGUUUUUACUGAAUCAAGAACAGUAUUCUGAACGUACUUUAUUUUACUCUCACAAUCUAGGAUUUUUUUAAACAAUUGAUCAAAUACAUUGUCAAGGAGGACCUAAAAAUAAUAUGAAUGAACUUGCUCAGUAAAAUGGCAAGGAUUGCAUCUUACUGGGUAUGCUUUUCUUCUUCCAGAAUACAUCUGCACACUUGCAGGGUGCAAAACUUCACUUGUCUGAAUGGAAAAUACCUCCAGCAGAUUAUUGCACUUGAAAUGAAAAUAGCGAGAAGAGGUUUAUUCAUUGCUUCUAUGGUACGACUAGCAGCUCCUGAAACACAUAAUCAUGCAUCUUCAUUCUGAAGCACAUAAUCAUGCAUCUUCAUUCUGAAACACGUAAUCAUCCAAGGAGUAGCUGUUAGUCACACAAAUGCUAGUGUAACCUCAAGUUCAUUGGAUGUCAUUCUGAAUAAAGAGAAUAGGAGCAUGCCCAGCUAUAUCGUUCUGUCCAGUGUCUAUCAACAGAUCAAAAGUAGCAAUAAAUAGGUACUUAACCAUUCAUUACUCGACUGAAGCACAAUGUAAAAAAAAAUGAUAACCAAACCUGAAAAACUUCAGUGUACUGCAGGUGUAUGUAGUGCUUUCAUAGAGUUGACAAAGAGCUACGAAUGUACCAUGAAUUGGAAAUAGAAAACGUGAUCCUGCAUCCUAAUUUUUUUGUAGUUGCUACCAUAUCUCACUAGUGUUCUGGAUUGCACCUAGAGAAAAGUUCUGAAGCCUUCCACAGAUACCCUCAACAACUUCCGGUCAAAGUGAAAAUCCAUAAUUUUAUGACGACGAUUAAAGUUUAAGAAAAGUCACAUUUGUGUCCUUUAGCAAUAUGAGGUAACCGAAAGGUUCAAAUUUUGAUCAAUUCAAGGUAUGAUCAGCCCCAAUGGCAGUGCUUCGACUAACUGAACUAUCAACAAGGCAAUGAUAUUGUGCAUUGAGAUCACGGUUACUCGGGCUUAAAUGAUUUGUGCUUCUUAUUGGGGUGCCACCCUUCCCGGUUUCUUACUAUGCCUUCUUAUGCAGCAGAGCAGAUUCACAAUGAUUGGAUGGUCAACCUAAUACAGUAGCAACACCCCGAUUCGAUUCUAAGUUUAAAUGGCCGGACAUGGUACUUUUCAGUAGCAGGGGACAGUCCAAUUCAUUCAAAAUAGUGGAGCUCCAAGGAAAAAAGAUGGAGUUUAUUCAUAAUAAAGAAGAAACAUGGCUAUUUAUUAGAACAUGCAACAUAUGGGGACUCUAAACGGAGGAUUCAUCAGACACAAACUGCUGAAUGUAAACUAUUUAUUGAAAAUAGGAGCUUAGUAGGAGGACUGGGAGCAUUUGUAGGCUAGAUCUAAAGAGAAGCUCUUGAUUUGUCCUCAACAUCAAAUCCGGUGAAGGCCCAUACUAAAAUUUGUGCAGCCAAAUUGAAACGAGUAAACUUCAUGUAUGGAUGCAACAACCUGCGCCGAAUCUGAGAAAGGCCAAGACCUAGCACCAUAGCAGCCGCCGCAUCUGGCAAGUCAAUACGCCUAAGUUCCAUAGGGAAAGUAGAAUUCUAGAUUGGGAGAGACGGGAGGAGAAAUACAGGGGCAUAAAUCUUGGCAAUGCAUCAGAGUGUCGAGAGCUCACCGUGACGCCGUCGUAGACCGCUAUUGCCGGCGCAGAGCGGUGCAGCCCCGCAGCACUGCCUUGAGGAACCCAGAGAGUUCACCACACCGCCGAGGCCACCACUGCCACCGAGCACCACGGGAUGAAACUUCAACGCCAUCACCAACCACGGCACCGCCCAAGACCUAGGCAGCUACCCCACCCAUGGCGCCGCCGUGCGCCGCCGAUACUCCCGAUACGGUUCGCAACUCUUCUU